GAGAGAGAGAGAGAGAGAGAGAGAGAGAGAGAGAGAGAGAGAGAGAGAGAGAGAGAGAAAUUUAUCAUUUUCUCUUUUUCUCGAGAUGUUAAAGAUUUCCGAGUGUAUGAUAUUUGAACAUGGAGGGUGCUUGUAGGCUAGUAUCGGCCAGUCUUGUGGAAUUUUGAUGAGGUUCAGGGAAGAUAAUUAGUAGAAGAUAAAUGGUCAUAUUUAUUGAAUUUUGUUUUGUUAAUAGGUAAAUAUAUUAUGGUUUGCUUUAA
Amborella trichopoda is the source of this 260-nucleotide non-coding RNA. NCBI's taxonomy places the organism in Eukaryota, Viridiplantae, Streptophyta, Magnoliopsida, Amborellales, Amborellaceae. The record is from RefSeq and is a predicted model, not a curated record.